CGAAGCAUAGAUCAAUGGCAGAUCAUACGGUUUUACACACCCCACGUUUUCCCGUAAAUUCCGGUUCGAUUCCGGGUGCUUCGUA
RNAcentral lists this transfer RNA (85 nucleotides) under Caudoviricetes sp. Its description in RNAcentral is "tRNA-OTHER". It matches the Rfam family "tRNA". Rfam says of the family: Transfer RNA (tRNA) molecules are approximately 80 nucleotides in length. Their secondary structure includes four short double-helical elements and three loops (D, anti-codon, and T loops). Lineage: Duplodnaviria; Heunggongvirae; Uroviricota; Caudoviricetes. The record is from RNAcentral.